Molecule: long non-coding RNA, 263 nt
Filed under: Glycine max (soybean)
Lineage: Eukaryota; Viridiplantae; Streptophyta; Magnoliopsida; Fabales; Fabaceae
Description: long non-coding RNA (GMAX_LNC003842)
Source: RNAcentral
UUGAUGUCAUUGAAUCAAGUGUAGACUAGAUUGGGUUGGUUGAUACAACUUAGUGACUUAGAACCAUAAGAAAUAUCCAUUUGUUUGUCUCAAACCACGUUAACCAUUUUCCAUUAUAACUUGUUUCCUGUAGUGAAGAAACAUGAAAAAAGCAAGAAAUAAGAAGAGAUAAUCAAGAGACGAAAAAAAUACAUGAACAAAAAAUUGUAAGAGAAAAGAAGAAUGAAUGAAGAGAUAGAAAGAAAGAAAAAAAAUAAAAAAAC